Molecule: non-coding RNA, 2435 nt
Organism: Misgurnus anguillicaudatus (oriental weatherfish)
Lineage: Eukaryota; Metazoa; Chordata; Actinopteri; Cypriniformes; Cobitidae
Source: RefSeq, a predicted model, not a curated record
GCCACAGGGUAAUGGGCAGUGCGAACGUUUUAAUUGAACCCUACAUGACCUAUUGCGUACUUUGCCUCCUGAAAAAAAGAAGCAGUGGCCUCAACAUUUGCCGCAGCUCGUCUAUGCAUAUAACACCACAGUGCAUCAGUCCACAGGGGUAAGUCCACAUUUCCUUAUGUUUGGAUCGGAACCCAGAUUGCCAGUUGAUUUUUUGUUGAAUAAUCAAUGGGAGAUGACAGUGGAAGCACCUGAAAGGUGGAUUGUGGAGCAUCAGGAUAGACUCCAGGUGUCAUAUGAGGAAGUGCAAAAAAGGAGGAAGUGAUAGGAUUGCCCGACGUAACCAGCGCCAUAAGAGUAGGAUAAAUGAUAAAGGGUUUUGUGAUGGUGAGUUGGUUUAUUUAAGAAACCAUCAACGUGGGCGGAAUAAAAUCCAGGACAUGUAUGAUUCAUGUUUGUAUAAGGUUGUUCGGGCACCAGGUGAGCGGAGUGCAGUAUAUUCAGUUGCUCCGCUGUCUCGGGAAGGGCCGGAGAAGCAGGUGCAUCGGUCAGAAAUGCGUAAGGCAUUUUAUGAACCUGGAGCAGAAGAUGUGGGCCUUCCUGUUCUUAGUGAAGUGUCUAACGGAGGGGCUGGUACUGACUCUGCGUUGGAGAGGGAUUCUGCCUCGGAUAGUGAUUCUGUGCCGAUUGUAGUAUUGCAUAAUGAUGAUGAUGUAGUUCCUUUGAGUGGUCCUCACUACCAACACUUAGAGUGUUUGCUUGUCUCCGGGGAGCAGCCGUUGAGCUUGGGGCAUCCAAAGAGAAGUACAGCAGGUCAACAUUCAAACCCUUAUAGAUUACCAAGAUCUGUGGCAGCAGUUAGUGAAGAUUCAGAUUAAAGAAUAAAUUUGUUAUUUUUGGAAUUUAUUUAUUGUUAUCGUCGGGUCAUUUGGGGGGAUAGAAUGUAGCCAGGCAAGGCCUACCAGUAGAGGGGUGUGGUUGGCUAAUUAGUCCAAGACUUUUUAAGCAGGCACUGGGCAAGAGGCCUUGAAAUGUGGGCCUUGUUUUGAAAGCACAUGGGAUGGUGCUGCUGUGUGUUGAAUUUGCCCCAGAUGAGGUAGGCCAAGUUUAUUAUUUUUGUUUUGGUUGAAUUGUUUAUUUAAGGGGAUUUAUUUUGAUUGUAUGGGAAAAUUCUGUUUGUUUAUUUAGAUGCAGAUGAAUUGAGUAAUGCUAACUGGGUAUGUUGACCGCUGCCUGUGUAGGUAAAUAUAUGGGCUUUGUCUUAGUUUUUUAAAAUAAGAUUGCAUGAAAGGUUUCAUUUGUAUUUCUCUUUGGAAAGGUGUUUUUGACUCUCUGAUCUGGAUAAAUGUUCAAAAAACCAACUGAUUGUUAUAUCUGCUAUUUGCCAAUGAAGUGUUUUAGAUGUGGAUAAAACCUGGAAUGCUGAUUGGCUGCUUUUUGGGUAGCUGAUAAAGUUAAGUCGAUUGCUGUUUCUCCCGUGUUGUUUUUGUUUAGUUCCCUGGUCGGCCGGUCUCAGAAGUGUGCUGCAUGGUGGCAGCAAGUGUACAUUGUGAACUGUUUGUGUACGAGUCCGGUUGGCUGGGGUUCUGUUAUCUUUUUCUUUUGUUUCUUUUUUUUUAUUAAUGACCAUCUUCCCAGCCUUAUGUCAUUAGCUCGACUCAUUGUGUUUGUAUUCUGUGUGUGCAUACCUUUGGGGUAUGGGAUCCAUGUUUGCUGUGGUGUUUUUUUGAGUUAUGAGUGAAGGGUUAUGUUUUGAGUUGUUGUUCUAUUUUGAAUUGUGGUGUUUUUUCCAUUGAUUUUUGGUUCUUUCUUUUUACUGUCAUUAAAAAAUGGAUGUUUCCUUAUACCUUAAAGGUUUGCCACACGCAACUGAACCAGCUACUAUAGAGAGCUUUUGAGCUGGUGGUUAACAUCUUGGAGAGCUGAGAUUAAUUUUGGAUGAGUUAUUUAAAUAAAUCAUUUCAUUUAUAUGUUUAAUUGUGUACAUUAUUUGUGCCCUAUUGUUUGUAAUAAACCUUUUUUGUUGUACUUUGAGUAGUCCAAAGGGUUUUGACUUUGUGCCUGUGCAUUAAACAAGGUAUUCUCUUUCAAAUUAGUUGGAAGGGGUGGCGUAGUGCUACACAAGAGAGGGUAAUGAACUAAUUAUUAAACUAUUAACAGGGAGAAGAAGGGGGCGGAGACAAGAGACAAGACACCGAAGGUCAUAUUUGAGUGCUUAAAGCUAUUUUUGGUGUGAUUUGCCCUCUCCUAAAAUUACUGGUCACAAUGAUGCAGAAAUAUUUGUAGCUUUUAUAAUAAGUUACACAUGUUUAACAUUUCUCAUUAAACAUUCUACAUUUAUUAACAUCUAUCUAUCUAUGCACAUUCAUUCGCAGUCGCGGAGACAGAAACUAGAGUUUUAACACGUCAUCGCAUUCGCGAGGGCUUUUUGGUCAAGUUAAAGAAUG